This is a long non-coding RNA of Populus euphratica (Euphrates poplar), 638 nucleotides long. RefSeq lists it as uncharacterized. The record is from RefSeq and is a predicted model, not a curated record. The transcript is spliced from 2 exons. Lineage: Eukaryota; Viridiplantae; Streptophyta; Magnoliopsida; Malpighiales; Salicaceae.
UACAAGCAGAAGGUCCUCAUAAAAAAAGAAAAAAGAAAGAAAAGGGCAGACUAAACAGACGCUCAUGCAUGCUAAAGUUUUGUUGUGGUGAUAAGAAUUAGGAGCGCCACCCCCAGAAAAAAAAUUGAAAAACAAACAAAAAACCCGGGUCUCCUAAUUGCCUUUUCCCGUAUAUGAAGACAGCCUAUUGACCAAUUGAACUUCCUGAAGGUUUCUUUCUUGCAGGCUAAGUUAUUUUGGCGAUAGAGAACAUACCCUUGCAGUCCUAGCACACCACACCGCCUGUGACUUCUGAAUUUAGGGCGUAGGAGCAAUAUUGACGUUAGGCUCUUUCCAAUAAAUCCAAGACAUGUUGGGCAGAUUCCAUUUCCAUUUACAGAACAAUCGUCUAGGCUGUGUAUAUAGACGAGGAUGACCCUUUAGAAUUAUUAAUCUAUCCUAACCAAUAGCAAGCUCUCCGAACAAAGAUCUGGCCAAUCUUUAUGUGUUUCACAUCCGUUGUUGGCCUCUUCAGCUUAUUGAAGUUCAAAAGUCUGGAAAUCUCCUUUCUUUCUUUUAGUUUCACUUCAAUAGAAACUUUCUGAUCUUUCGUUAACUUGCAUAUGAAUCUAAGCUGAAUUGAAUUAUUUAUUUGUUUA